Molecule: ribosomal RNA, 468 nt
Filed under: uncultured bacterium
Lineage: Bacteria
Description: partial 16S ribosomal RNA
Rfam family: Bacterial small subunit ribosomal RNA
Source: RNAcentral
GACGAACGCUGGCGGCGUGCUUAACACAUGCAAGUCGAACGGAAAGGCCCUGCUUUUGUGGGGUGCUCGAGUGGCGAACGGGUGAGUAACACGUGAGUAACCUGCCCUUGACUUUGGGAUAACUUCAGGAAACUGGGGCUAAUACCGGAUAGGAGCUCCUGCUGCAUGGUGGGGGUUGGAAAGUUUCGGCGGUUGGGGAUGGACUCGCGGCUUAUCAGCUUGUUGGUGGGGUAGUGGCUUACCAAGGCUUUGACGGGUAGCCGGCCUGAGAGGGUGACCGGCCACAUUGGGACUGAGAUACGGCACAGACUCCUACGGGAGGCAGCAGUGGGGAAUAUUGCACAAUGUGCGGAAGCCUGAUGCAGCAACGCCGCGUGCGGGAUGACGGCCUUCGGGUUGUAAACCGCUUUCGCCUGUGACGAAGCGUGAGUGACGGUAAUGGGUAAAGAAGCACCGGCUAACUACGUG